ACGAACGCUGGCGGCAUGCCUAACACAUGCACGUCGAACGAGACCUUCGGGUCUAGUGGCGCACGGGUGCGUAACGCGUGGGAACCUGCCCUUAGGUUCGGAAUAACUCCCCGAAAGGGGUGCUAAUACCGGAUAAUGUCUUCGGACCAAAGAUUUAUCGCCUUUGGAUGGGCCCGCGUUGGAUUAGCUAGUUGGUAGGGUAAAAGCCUACCAAGGCGACGAUCCAUAGCUGGUCUGAGAGGAUGAUCAGCCACACUGGGACUGAGACACGGCCCAGACUCCUACGGGAGGCAGCAGUGGGGAAUAUUGGACAAUGGGCGAAAGCCUGAUCCAGCAAUGCCGCGUGAGUGAUGAAGGCCUUAGGGUUGAAAAGCUCUUUUACCCGGGAUGAUAAUGACAGUACCGGGAGAAUAAGCUCCGGCUAACUCCGUG
RNAcentral lists this ribosomal RNA (432 nucleotides) under uncultured bacterium. Its description in RNAcentral is "partial 16S ribosomal RNA". It matches the Rfam family "Bacterial small subunit ribosomal RNA", at positions 29 to 507 of the family's 1533-position model. The record is from RNAcentral.